This 69-nucleotide transfer RNA is filed under the name Centropus bengalensis (lesser coucal). RNAcentral's name for it is "tRNA-Ala". It matches the Rfam family "tRNA". From Rfam's summary of the family: Transfer RNA (tRNA) molecules are approximately 80 nucleotides in length. Their secondary structure includes four short double-helical elements and three loops (D, anti-codon, and T loops). The record is from RNAcentral. Lineage: Eukaryota; Metazoa; Chordata; Aves; Cuculiformes; Centropidae.
AAGGUCCUAGCUUAAUGAAAGUGUCUGAGUUGCAUUUAGGAGAUGCAGGUUAAUAUCCUGCGGACUUUA